This 253-nucleotide ribosomal RNA is filed under the name uncultured bacterium. RNAcentral describes it as "partial 16S ribosomal RNA". It matches the Rfam family "Bacterial small subunit ribosomal RNA", at positions 524 to 776 of the family's 1533-position model. The record is from RNAcentral.
UACGUAGGUCGCAAGCGUUGUCCGGAUUUACUGGGCGUAAAGAGCGCGCAGGCGGCUGGUCAAGUCCGAUGUGAAAUCUCCCGGCUCAACUGGGAAACUGCAUCGGAAACUGAUCGGCUUGAAGAUGGGAGAGGGUAGUGGAAUUCCCGGUGUAGUGGUGAAAUGCGUAGAUAUCGGGAGGAACACCAGUGGCGAAGGCGACUUCCUGGCCCAUUCUUGACGCUGAGGCGCGAAAGCUAGGGGAGCGAACGGG